UACAGAGGGUGCGAGCGUUAAUCGGAAUUACUGGGCGUAAAGCGCACGUAGGCGGACAUUUAAGUCAGGGGUGAAAUCCCGGAGCUCAACUCCGGAACUGCCUUUGAUACUGGGUGUCUUGAGUAUGGUAGAGGGUGGUGGAAUUUCCUGUGUAGCGGUGAAAUGCGUAGAUAUAGGAAGGAACACCAGUGGCGAAGGCGACCACCUGGACUGAUACUGACACUGAGGUGCGAAAGCGUGGGGAGCAAACAGG
RNAcentral lists this ribosomal RNA (253 nucleotides) under uncultured prokaryote. RNAcentral describes it as "partial 16S ribosomal RNA". It matches the Rfam family "Bacterial small subunit ribosomal RNA", at positions 524 to 776 of the family's 1533-position model. The record is from RNAcentral.